AAUUUAUCAGGCUGCGUUCUUUGCACUGACAGCGCUCACGAUGUCUAGUAAGUUUUAAAGCGCCUUCAUACAAAAGCCAAGCAUCAUUCCCUAUACCUAUAUCUGAAGCAAGCCGUUUUAAUUUGGUUAAUCAAAAGAUGAAGAAGAUUAUCCCGGCGGUGAUAAGUGUGAUUAACCAAGCUUCAGGAACGUUAAGGUUCUUGUAGGAGCCGGUUUUAACACCAUUGACCAUUUUGCCAAUGCUCUGACAAAUUGCUGGAAUAUCAGCUGGCGUUGGUGGAGUUAGUUCCAGCUUGGCGUACUUCAAGAAACAAACAUCGAGCUGAGGCCUUACCUGUUUAAAAGUCCCGAUCUCUUUGUAGACAAACUCGCCAUAUUUUCGUGUAAUCAAGUCAAUGCGCGAUGAAACAGAGAAUAUCUGUCGAGUCUUAAAACUGGACAACGAUUAAGUCAGACACCAUACUCUACUGCAUUUCAGUAACUAUAAAGCUGGAAACUGCAGCCCAAUUGCAA
Long non-coding RNA from Drosophila pseudoobscura, 513 nucleotides. RefSeq lists it as uncharacterized. The transcript has 2 exons. NCBI's taxonomy places the organism in Eukaryota, Metazoa, Arthropoda, Insecta, Diptera, Drosophilidae. The record is from RefSeq and is a predicted model, not a curated record.